AGAACGAACGCUGGCGGCAGGCUUAACACAUGCAAGUCGAACGCAUCGCAAGAUGAGUGGCAGACGGGUGAGUAACGCGUGGGAACCUUCCCAAUGGUACGGAAUAGCUCAGGGAAACUUGAGGUAAUACCGUAUACGCCCCAAGGGGGAAAGAUUUAUCGCCAUUGGAUGGGCCCGCGUCGGAUUAGGUAGUUGGUGAGGUAACGGCUCACCAAGCCUGCGAUCCGUAGCU
This 232-nucleotide ribosomal RNA is filed under the name uncultured bacterium. RNAcentral describes it as "partial small subunit ribosomal RNA". It matches the Rfam family "Bacterial small subunit ribosomal RNA", at positions 26 to 288 of the family's 1533-position model. The record is from RNAcentral.